AUUGAACGCUGGCGGCAUGCUUUACACAUGCAAGUCGAACGGUAACAGGGAGCUUGCUCCGCUGACGAGUGGCGAACGGGUGAGUAAUGCAUCGGAACGUACCCAGUCGUGGGGGAUAACGUAGCGAAAGUUACGCUAAUACCGCAUACGUCCUGAGGGAGAAAGCGGGGGACCGAAAGGCCUCGCGCGAUUGGAGCGGCCGAUGUCGGAUUAGCUAGUUGGUGGGGUAAAGGCCUACCAAGGCGACGAUCCGUAGCGGGUCUGAGAGGAUGAUCCGCCACACUGGGACUGAGACACGGCCCAGACUCCUACGGGAGGCAGCAGUGGGGAAUUUUGGACAAUGGGGGCAACCCUGAUCCAGCCAUGCCGCGUGAGUGAAGAAGGCCUUCGGGUUGUAAAGCUCUUUCAGACGGAAAGAAAACGCAUCGGUGAAUACCCGAUGUGGAUGA
RNAcentral lists this ribosomal RNA (449 nucleotides) under uncultured Zoogloea sp. RNAcentral describes it as "bacterial SSU rRNA". It matches the Rfam family "Bacterial small subunit ribosomal RNA", at positions 29 to 472 of the family's 1533-position model. The record is from RNAcentral. Lineage: Bacteria; Pseudomonadati; Pseudomonadota; Betaproteobacteria; Rhodocyclales; Zoogloeaceae.